RNAcentral lists this ribosomal RNA (521 nucleotides) under uncultured bacterium. Its description in RNAcentral is "bacterial SSU rRNA". It matches the Rfam family "Bacterial small subunit ribosomal RNA", at positions 777 to 1304 of the family's 1533-position model. The record is from RNAcentral.
AAUAGAUACCCGGGUAGUCCACGCCGUAAACGAUGGAUACUAGCUGUUUGGUAGUAAUACUGAGUGGCUAAGCGAAAGUGAUAAGUAUCCCACCUGGGGAGUACGGUCGCAAGACUGAAACUCAAAGGAAUUGACGGGGGCCCGCACAAGCGGUGGAGCAUGUGGUUUAAUUCGAUGAUACGCGAGGAACCUUACCAGGGCUUAAAUGUAGAUUGACAGGCGUGGAAACAUGCUUUUCUUCGGACAAAUUACAAGGUGCUGCAUGGUUGUCGUCAGCUCGUGCCGUGAGGUGUCAGGUUAAGUCCUAUAACGAGCGCAACCCCUGUUGUUAGUUGCCAGCGAGUAAUGUCGGGAACUCUAACAAGACUGCCAGUGUAAACUGCGAGGAAGGUGGGGAUGACGUCAAAUCAUCACGGCCCUUACGUCCUGGGCCACACACGUGCUACAAUGGACGGUACAGAGAGCAGCCACUUAGCAAUAAGGAGCGAAUCUAUAAAACCGUUCUCAGUUCGGAUCGGAGU